RNAcentral lists this ribosomal RNA (221 nucleotides) under Acidovorax cavernicola. Its description in RNAcentral is "partial 23S ribosomal RNA". It matches the Rfam family "Bacterial large subunit ribosomal RNA", at positions 2718 to 2925 of the family's 2925-position model. The record is from RNAcentral. Lineage: Bacteria; Pseudomonadati; Pseudomonadota; Betaproteobacteria; Burkholderiales; Comamonadaceae.
CGGUUGUCACGCCAGUGGCAUUGCCGAGUAGCUAAGUGUGGAAGAGAUAACCGCUGAAAGCAUCUAAGCGGGAAACUCGUUUCAAGAUGAGAUCUGCCGGGGCCUUGAGCCCCCUGAAGAGUCGUUCGAGACCAGGACGUUGAUAGGUUGGGUGUGGAAGCGCAGCAAUGCGUUAAGCUAACCAAUACUAAUUGCUCGUGAGGCUUGACCCUAUAACUUUG